Microtus ochrogaster (prairie vole) is the source of this 133-nucleotide small nucleolar RNA. Its record names the gene U8. It matches the Rfam family "U8 small nucleolar RNA". From Rfam's summary of the family: U8 is a member of the C/D class of snoRNA which contain the C (UGAUGA) and D (CUGA) box motifs. U8 is the RNA component of a small complex (the U8 snoRNP) which is required for accumulation of mature large subunit ribosomal RNAs, 5.8S and 28S rRNAs. Lineage: Eukaryota; Metazoa; Chordata; Mammalia; Rodentia; Cricetidae. The record is from Ensembl.
UAGUAUGGUAGGUGGAUAAUUUAUUUAUUCCUCUUUUCAGGGGGCAAGACAGAACAUGAUUAAAGUGUGCAUCAGUUGUGAUUAGCAUCUUUUACAGUCACUACAUGCAAUACCCUGCUUGCUCUUGUCUGAU